GGAGCGGUGUCCGUGUGGUUGAAGGAGGCGGUCUUGAAAACCGUUGUGCCGUAAGGUACCGGGGGUUCGAAUCCCCCCUGCUCCG
RNAcentral lists this transfer RNA (85 nucleotides) under Treponema sp. Its description in RNAcentral is "tRNA-Ser". It matches the Rfam family "tRNA". Rfam says of the family: Transfer RNA (tRNA) molecules are approximately 80 nucleotides in length. The record is from RNAcentral. Lineage: Bacteria; Pseudomonadati; Spirochaetota; Spirochaetia; Treponematales; Treponemataceae.